RNAcentral lists this ribosomal RNA (269 nucleotides) under uncultured prokaryote. Its description in RNAcentral is "partial 16S ribosomal RNA". It matches the Rfam family "Bacterial small subunit ribosomal RNA", at positions 524 to 792 of the family's 1533-position model. The record is from RNAcentral.
AACGUAGGAACCGAGCGUUAUCCGAAUUUACUGGGCGUAAAGCGCGUGUAGGCGGUUCGAUAAGUUGGAUGUGAAAGCUCCCGGCUCAACUGGGAGAGGACGUUCAAUACUGUCGGACUAGAGGGCAGCAGAGGGAGGUGGAAUUCCCGGUGUAGUGGUGAAAUGCGUAGAUAUCGGGAGGAACACCAGAGGCGAAGGCGGCCUCCUGGGCUGCACCUGACGCUCAGACGCGAAAGCUAGGGUAGCAAACGGGAUUAGAUACCCCCGUA